AGUAAUCCAUUAACCCUCCGCCUGGGAGGACGGUGGCAAGCUUAAAUCAAAGGAAUUAAGGGGCCCGCACAACCGUUGAGCCUUUGUUUAAUUCGAACAACGCGAAGAACUUACCAGGUCUGACAUCCUCUGACAACCCUAGAGAUAGGGCUUUCCUUCGGGACAGAGUGACAGGUGGUGCAUGGUUGUCGUCAGCUCGUGUCGUGAGAUGUUGGGUUAAGUCCCGCAACGAGCGCAACCCUGAUCUUAGUUGCCAGCAUUCAGUUGGGCACUCUAAGGUGACUGCCGGUGACAAACCGGAGGAAGGUGGGGAUGACGUCAAAUCAUCAUGCCCCUUAUGACCUGGGCUACACACGUGCUACAAUGGACAGAACAAAGGGCUGCGAGACCGCAAGGUUUAGCCAAUCCCACAAAUCUGUUCUCAGUUCGGAUCGCAGUCUGCAACUCGACUGCGUGAAGCUGGAAUCGCUAGUAAUCGCGGAUCAGCAUGCCGCGGUGAAUACGUUCCCGGGCCUUGUACACACCGCCCGUCACACCACGAGAGUUUGCAACACCCGAAGUCGGUGAGGUAACCUUUAUGGAGCC
This 585-nucleotide ribosomal RNA is filed under the name Bacillus aerius. RNAcentral's name for it is "bacterial SSU rRNA". It matches the Rfam family "Bacterial small subunit ribosomal RNA", at positions 848 to 1450 of the family's 1533-position model. The record is from RNAcentral. Lineage: Bacteria; Bacillati; Bacillota; Bacilli; Caryophanales; Bacillaceae.